RNAcentral lists this ribosomal RNA (257 nucleotides) under Stenotrophomonas maltophilia. RNAcentral describes it as "partial 16S ribosomal RNA". It matches the Rfam family "Bacterial small subunit ribosomal RNA", at positions 1 to 254 of the family's 1533-position model. Lineage: Bacteria; Pseudomonadati; Pseudomonadota; Gammaproteobacteria; Lysobacterales; Lysobacteraceae. The record is from RNAcentral.
UAAGUGAAGAGUUUGAUCCUGGCUCAGAGUGAACGCUGGCGGUAGGCCUAACACAUGCAAGUCGAACGGCAGCACAGGAGAGCUUGCUCUCUGGGUGGCGAGUGGCGGACGGGUGAGGAAUACAUCGGAAUCUACUCUGUCGUGGGGGAUAACGUAGGGAAACUUACGCUAAUACCGCAUACGACCUACGGGUGAAAGCAGGGGACCUUCGGGCCUUGCGCGAUUGAAUGAGCCGAUGUCGGAUUAGCUAGUUGGCG